CAAGGAAUUUUCGGCAAUGGGCGCAAGCCUGACCGAGCAACGCCGCGUGGAGGAUGACGGCUUUCGGGUUGUAAACUCCUUUUCGGUGGGACGAUAAUGACGGUACCACCGGAAUCAGGCCCGGCUAACUACGUGCCAGCAGCCGCGGUAAUACGUAGGGGUCGAGCGUUGUCCGGACUUACUGGGCGUAAAGCGUGGGUAGGUGGAUGGUGAUGUGCCGUGUGAAAGCGCCGCGCUUCUCGCGGCGAGGUCGCGGUAGACACACCAUCUAGAGGCACGGAGAGGGGCGUAGAAUUCCCGGUGUAGUGGUGAAAUGCGUAGAUAUCGGGAGGAAUACCAGUGGCGCAAGCGGCGCCCUGGCCGUGACCUGACACUGAGCCACGACGGCGUGGGGAGCAAACGG
This 403-nucleotide ribosomal RNA is filed under the name uncultured bacterium. RNAcentral describes it as "bacterial SSU rRNA". It matches the Rfam family "Bacterial small subunit ribosomal RNA", at positions 355 to 775 of the family's 1533-position model. The record is from RNAcentral.